CUGGUUGAUCCUGCCAGUAGUCAUAUGCUUGUGUUAAAGAUUAAGCCAUGCAUGCCUAAGUAUAGGUGGAUAUAACCGAAACUGCGGAUGGCUCAUUAAAUCAGUCAUAAUUAAUUUGGUGAAGAUGAUGAAAAUUACGCGGGGCAACUCGUGUGGUUUUUGUUAACUAGAAGGAUAACCCUGUUAAUUGUAGAGCUAAUACAUGAAAGAACACGAUACCUGUAAAAAGGUAGCAUUUGCCAGCUCCCAAAUUAAUCAAAGAUUCCACAGACUAUGACUCAGCGAGCGAGUACCCAUAAUCUCGGAAGCAAAAGGAAUAAAUCAAACUAAAAAGGGGAGGGGAAAGAUGACGCGGAGCGUAGAUAAUGUGGGAGAUAUGAAAAAAGGCAAAAAUAAAAUAGCGAAUCGCAGUAAAGGCGUUCUGCGCCGGCGAUGGACUAAACGAGUGACUGACCUAUCAAGCUGAUGGUAGGAUAGGGGCCUACCAAGCUAAUUACGGGUAACGGGGAAUUAGGGUUCGAUUCCGGAGAGGGCGCCUGAGAAAUGGCUACCACUUCCAAGGAAGACAGCAGGCGCGUAAAUUACUCGGUGCCGACACGGCGAGGUAGUGACGACAAAUACCAAUGCUCAUUCGUAUCUCGGGUAACCGGGGUAUAGAGUAAUUGGAAUGAUUGCAAAAUAAAAGAAUGCAAGAGUAACAAUUGGAGGGCAAGUCUGG
This 718-nucleotide ribosomal RNA is filed under the name uncultured Iodamoeba. RNAcentral describes it as "bacterial SSU rRNA". It matches the Rfam family "Eukaryotic small subunit ribosomal RNA", at positions 4 to 564 of the family's 1831-position model. Lineage: Eukaryota; Evosea; Mastigamoebida; Endamoebidae. The record is from RNAcentral.